This is a non-coding RNA of Schizosaccharomyces pombe (fission yeast), 347 nucleotides long. NCBI's taxonomy places the organism in Eukaryota, Fungi, Ascomycota, Schizosaccharomycetes, Schizosaccharomycetales, Schizosaccharomycetaceae. The record is from the annotation of a GenBank genome assembly.
CAUUCGAACAUAGAGGUAUGUAUAACCAAGCCAGUCUACGCCAUCUUCGAUACUACGAACAGUUCCUAACGAUACUUCGGCAUUUAAACAAUCAGCUAGACGGCGCAUAAAUUGAGACUCAAUUGGAAGCUGCUGAUUCAUUAGUGAUAGAUAAUACUGUAACUCAGAGUGGGCGGUAAUGAUAAUUCCUUCACCAUAUGUGUCGAAUUGUGGGCGACCAGCUCUGCCAAGCAUUUGCAAAACAUCCUGAGGAGAGAGUUCUGUCCAGAUACCCUUUUCAGGAGAAUAAACUUGGGUCCCUUUGAUGAUCACUGUGUGCGCUGGUAAGUUUACGCCCCAAGCCAGAG